AAGGUUUCAACAUGUAUUGGAUGA
RNAcentral lists this non-coding RNA (24 nucleotides) under Arabidopsis thaliana (thale cress). Lineage: Eukaryota; Viridiplantae; Streptophyta; Magnoliopsida; Brassicales; Brassicaceae. The record is from RNAcentral.